CAAUAGCGUAUAUUAAAGUUGUUGCAGUUAAAAAGCUCGUAGUUGGAUUUCUGCUGAGGACGAUCGGUCCGCCCACUGGGUGAGUAUCUGGCUCGGCCUUGGCAUCUUCUUGGAGAACGUUGCUGCACUUGACUGUGUGGCGCGGUAUCCAGGACUUUUACUUUGAGGAAAUUAGAGUGUUUCAAGCAGGCGCACGCCUUGAAUACAUUAGCAUGGAAUAAUGAGAUAGGACCUUGGUUCUAUUUUGUUGGUUUCUAGAGCUGAGGUAAUGAUUAAUAGGGAUAGUUGGGGGCAUUCGUAUUUAACUGUCAGAGGUGAAAUUCUUGGAUUUGUCAAAGACGGACUACUGCGAAAGCAUUUGCCAAGGAUGUUUUCAUUGA
Molecule: ribosomal RNA, 380 nt
Filed under: uncultured eukaryote
Lineage: Eukaryota
Description: partial 18S ribosomal RNA
Rfam family: Eukaryotic small subunit ribosomal RNA
Source: RNAcentral